UUCUCAGUGGUCUCAUCUCGUGCUAUUGAUUCUGUCUUCCUGACAAAGCCAUUGUUGCUCUUUGGUCGUUACCUUCUUAUUAUAUCAGCUGAGUUUGUGUAUAAAUCAUAUAAAGGAUGAUUAAAUGGUAGUUUGGGAUCAAUGAUUAAAAAAUAGGUAGCGAAAAGAAUGAAAUGAAAAAUUGUUUUCAAAGAGUUGGUAGAGGAAAGUGUGAGCCAUAGAUGGCAAUCCAAAAGCGGGAAGAUAUAUAUUUAACUUUUUACAAUGAAAGAGACUUUGAGAAGACAUUAAGUACAAGUAGAACACUAUAAUAAUAUGUAGUAUGCAAAAAUGAAUUAAAUGGUAAUAAUAGAGAUGAACCAAAAGGUACUAUCAACAAACAAGACGUUGAAUCAUAUAAUUACAUGUGAAAUUAUGGACACGAGAUUACUUGGCUUUGUUUGUCUUAUACUACACAACACUAACCUCCGUACACAUCACACACACGUGUAUUUGAUCUCUCAAACUCAGGGUCAUAUAGUUAGGCCAACAUUAAAAUAUAAUUU
This 545-nucleotide long non-coding RNA is filed under the name Brassica napus (rape). Its description in RNAcentral is "long non-coding RNA (BNAP_LNC008777)". The record is from RNAcentral. Lineage: Eukaryota; Viridiplantae; Streptophyta; Magnoliopsida; Brassicales; Brassicaceae.